GAUUCGUCACACUAUCAUUAACUGAAUCCAUAGGUUAAUGAGGCGAACCGGGGGAACUGAAACAUCUAAGUACCCCGAGGAAAAGAAAUCAACCGAGAUUCCCCCAGUAGCGGCGAGCGAACGGGGAGGAGCCCAGAGCCUGAAUCAGCAUGUGUGUUAGUGGAAGCGUCUGGAAAGGCGCGCGAUACAGGGUGACAGCCCCGUACACAAAAGCGCAUGUGCUGUGAGCUCGAUGAGUAGGGCGGGACACGUGGUAUCCUGUCUGAAUAUGGGGGGACCAUCCUCCAAGGCUAAAUACUCCUGACUGACCGAUAGUGAACCAGUACCGUGAGGGAAAGGCGAAAAGAACCCCGGCGAGGGGAGUGAAAAAGAACCUGAAACCGUGUACGUACAAGCAGUGGGAGCCCCACCACCAAAGCAUUCUCUGGUGUUGAAGGCCCUGCAAAGCAGCAUCGCGGUGGCGGAGCGUCGUUUGCGACGCCCAACACACAAAACAAGCGGUGAAUGCUUUGGGGUGGGGUGACUGCGUACCUUUUGUAUAAUGGGUCAGCGACUUAUAUUCUGUAGCA
This 569-nucleotide ribosomal RNA is filed under the name Salmonella enterica subsp. enterica serovar Typhimurium. Its description in RNAcentral is "partial 23S ribosomal RNA". It matches the Rfam family "Bacterial large subunit ribosomal RNA", at positions 137 to 642 of the family's 2925-position model. Lineage: Bacteria; Pseudomonadati; Pseudomonadota; Gammaproteobacteria; Enterobacterales; Enterobacteriaceae. The record is from RNAcentral.